UGGCUUCUCGCUAUCACUUCUGGAUGGACCUGCGGUGCAUUAGCUUGUUGGUGGGGUAACGGCCUACCAAGGCGAUGAUGCAUAGCCGAGUUGAGAGACUGAUCGGCCACAAUGGGACUGAGACACGGCCCAUACUCCUACGGGAGGCAGCAGUAGGGAAUCUUCCACAAUGGGCGCAAGCCUGAUGGAGCAACACCGCGUGAGUGAAGAAGGGUUUCGGCUCGUAAAGCUCUGUUGUUAAAGAAGAACACGUAUGAGAGUAACUGUUCAUACGUUGACGGUAUUUAACCAGAAAGUCACGGCUAACUACGUGCCAGCAGCCGCGGUAAUACGUAGGUGGCAAGCGUUAUCCGGAUUUAUUGGGCGUAAAGAGAGUGCAGGCGGUUUUCUAAGUCUGAUGUGAAAGCCUUCGGCUUAACCGGAGAAGUGCAUCGGAAACUGGAUAACUUGAGUGCAGAAGAGGGUAGUGGAACUCCAUGUGUAGCGGUGGAAUGCGUAGAUAUAUGGAAGAACACCAGUGGCGAAGGCGGCUACCUGGUCUGCAACUGACGCUGAGACUCGAAAGCAUGGGUAGCGAACAGGAUUAGAUACCCUGGUAGUCCAUGCCGUAAACGAUGAGUGCUAGGUGUUGGAGGGUUUCCGCCCUUCAGUGCCGGAGCUAACGCAUUAAGCACUCCGCCUGGGGAGUACGACCGCAAGGUUGAAACU
This 708-nucleotide ribosomal RNA is filed under the name Limosilactobacillus fermentum. RNAcentral's name for it is "bacterial SSU rRNA". It matches the Rfam family "Bacterial small subunit ribosomal RNA", at positions 208 to 901 of the family's 1533-position model. The record is from RNAcentral. Lineage: Bacteria; Bacillati; Bacillota; Bacilli; Lactobacillales; Lactobacillaceae.